GUAUUGAGGGUGGGCAAUCGGUUGGCUUCGUGCUUUAUGAUCAUGAUGCAAUAUGCAUCUCGGUGGCAAGAUGUGGUGGACCUAAGCUUGCAAUCAUGUAUAGAAUCCAUCUGGCGGAAAAUAUACCAAAGGGAGAAUUCAAAGAGCUACUACUAUACUACAGUCGUGUUCGUGAGUUCCGGCGGAUCCUUCGGAGACCUUGCUGUUGAUCUCAACACUGCGCGAUGAUUGACGCAAGGGUAACUGGAAACAAUUCUUUUUUUCUGAUAUCUAAGGCAGGGCACUUUGCUCCAGUUAAUGAUGAUGAUGAAAGCCAGCGCUCCCCCAAAAGAACUACCUCCCAGGGCCAAUACGAGAUAGCAACAAGGCAAGACCAUCUAUUUAUCUUCGUGCCACACGAACCGGGUCCAACAAAACACAUCUCAUCAUCUGCUCACCAUCUGCACACCACAUCAUCCUUCCAAUGGGGAUUAUGACGGGUGGUUGAGGAACGCUGAGCAAUGUAGUAGUGGUGAUAGUAUAGGCAUAUGGGUGGUAACAUGAUCUGGGCAAGAAAUGCGAUUGACUGUGGUUUGUUAGGGCCUCUUCUCCUUAUUGUCAUCGACAAGUCCCCAGCUUAAACACAAUCAUUCUCUAUGUAGUUUAUCUUCGUAGAUGCGUAAAAAUGCAUGGCCCUCG
RNAcentral lists this small RNA (678 nucleotides) under Cryptococcus neoformans H99. RNAcentral's name for it is "Cryptococcus neoformans var. grubii H99 hypothetical RNA". Lineage: Eukaryota; Fungi; Basidiomycota; Tremellomycetes; Tremellales; Cryptococcaceae. The record is from RNAcentral.